RNAcentral lists this unclassified non-coding RNA (241 nucleotides) under soil metagenome. RNAcentral describes it as "partial internal transcribed spacer 1". The record is from RNAcentral.
CCAAUGAUUGGGAACCAGUUGAGGUUGAUAGAUCUCCUGGUUGCUAAAAUCAAAUACCCAUCUUUGUGCACCUUUUUUAUGUCUCUGGUGUGUCGCAAGAGAAGUCUCCUAUUUGGAGGAUCUCUUCUAGUUCAUUUUGAUCCUCGGACAAAUGAAUGAAGCCACCAAAUGGUUGCUACAACACACUUUUUUGGCCGUCCAAAAUAUCUGUCUAACAUUGAUUUGUGUAAAAUACAUAAAA